RNAcentral lists this ribosomal RNA (461 nucleotides) under uncultured bacterium. RNAcentral's name for it is "partial 16S ribosomal RNA". It matches the Rfam family "Bacterial small subunit ribosomal RNA", at positions 338 to 795 of the family's 1533-position model. The record is from RNAcentral.
CCUACGGGAGGCAGCAGUGAGGAAUAUUGGUCAAUGGGCGCAAGCCUGAACCAGCCAAGUCGCGUGAGGGAUGACGGUCCUAUGGAUUGUAAACCUCUUUUGUCGGGGAGCAAGGCCCGCCACGUGUGGCGGGAAGGAGAGUACCCGAAGAAAAAGCAUCGGCUAACUCCGUGCCAGCAGCCGCGGUAAUACGGAGGAUGCGAGCGUUAUCCGGCUUUAUUGGGCGUAAAGAGUUCGUAGGCGGUAUGUUAAGUCUGGUGUUAAAUGCAGAAGCUCAACUUCUGUUCGGCACUGGAUACUGGCAAACUAGAAUGCGGUAGAGGUAAAGGGAAUUCCUGGUGUAGCGGUGAAAUGCUUAGAUAUCAGGAGGAACAUCGGUGGCGUAAGCGCUUUACUGGGCCGUAAUUGACGCUGAGGAACGAAAGCCAGGGUAGCAAAUGGGAUUAGAUACCCUUGUAGUC